GACGAACGCUGGCGGCGUGCCUAAUACAUGCAAGUUGAGCGCUGAAGGUUGGUACUUGUACCGACUGGAUGAGCAGCGAACGGGUGAGUAACGCGUGGGGAAUCUGCCUUUGAGCGGGGGACAACAUUUGGAAACGAAUGCUAAUACCGCAUAAAAACUUUAAACACAAGUUUUAAGUUUGAAAGAUGCAAUAGCAUCACUCAAAGAUGAUCCCGCGUUGUAUUAGCUAGUUGGUGAGGUAAAGGCUCACCAAGGCGAUGAUACAUAGCCGACCUGAGAGGGUGAUCGGCCACAUUGGGACUGAGACACGGCCCAAACUCCUACGGGAGGCAGCAGUAGGGAAUCUUCGGCAAUGGACGAAAGUCUGACCGAGCAACGCCGCGUGAGUGAAGAAGGUUUUCGGAUCGUAAAACUCUGUUGGUAGAGAAGAACGUUGGUGAGAGUGGAAAGCUCAUCAAGUGACGGUAACUACCCAGAAAGGGACGGCUAACUACGUG
This 497-nucleotide ribosomal RNA is filed under the name uncultured bacterium. RNAcentral describes it as "partial 16S ribosomal RNA". It matches the Rfam family "Bacterial small subunit ribosomal RNA", at positions 28 to 507 of the family's 1533-position model. The record is from RNAcentral.